Brassica napus (rape) is the source of this 555-nucleotide long non-coding RNA. RefSeq lists it as uncharacterized. The record is from RefSeq and is a predicted model, not a curated record. NCBI's taxonomy places the organism in Eukaryota, Viridiplantae, Streptophyta, Magnoliopsida, Brassicales, Brassicaceae. The transcript has 2 exons.
UGAUUGGUAAAUCAAAUGGUUUCUACAAAAACUAAAAACUAAAACUUGAUUGGAUGAAAAAUGGUUUUUGCAAAAACAAAAACCAAAAACUAAAUCAAAAACCACAAACAAUCAACCUCUGAAAGAGACAAGUACCUAUCUUCUACAACGGCGACUGAUGAAGAUUGUUAGUUGCUACCUAACAGGUUUUAUAACCUUUAUGAUUGCUUUAUCUCCCAAAUAAUAAGAUCAAGCUUUCGGUUGGAAACACAAACAACAGACCAAAUCUACCGGUCAAUUCAGCUUUACAUAGUUAUUACAAAUCUUCAACAUAUCCAUCGAUAUAACAUCUAUUCAGAGGGAGAGAGAGGGGCAUUAAAAAUGUUCUUAAUCAAAAACAAAAACAAGGAAAGACAUUGAACAUCAAUGUUCAGAAAAGUGUAGCAUGUGUGUUUGAGUUUUUGCAACUGUUUCCAGUUCAUAUCGCAUAAAUGUGGAGCUUAAUGUGAAACACCCAUGGUGUUAUUUUCGUUUAACGGGAGAACGCACAUGCCAAUCACUAGCGAUUAUGAUGAA